CGUAACAAGGUUUCCGUAGGUGAACCUGCGGAAGGAUCAUUACACACUGCGCCAUGCUUGCAGAUGUUCGCAUUUGCAGGUAUAGCCAGCUAACCCUUGUCUAUUUCUACCAUUUGUGAAUCCCUCGGCGGGGACGCCUGCCGCUGGGACCCCUGAACUCUACUGUAUAAAAAGUAUCAAACCUUUCUGAAUCCUAUUAUAAUUAUUACAACUUUCAACAAUGGAUCUCUUGGUUCUGGCAUCGAUGAAGAACGCAGCGAAAUGCGAUAAGUAGUGUGAAUUGCAGACUUUAGUGAAUCAUCGAAUCUUUGAACGCACAUUGCGCCCCUUGGUAUUCCAUUGGGCAUGCCUGUUCGAGCGUCAUUUAACCCUUCAAGCAUUGCUUGGUGUUGGGUGUUUGUCUGCACCGACGGUGUAGACUUGCCCUAAAAGCAUUGGCAGUAGUUUUGCCGGCCUCUCGCGCAGCACUUUGCGCUUUCUGAGGAAACCGGUAGGCUUGACUUCCACCAAGAUCUUACUAUUUGACCUCGAAUG
RNAcentral lists this ribosomal RNA (534 nucleotides) under Dictyosporium thailandicum. Its description in RNAcentral is "eukaryotic LSU rRNA". The stretch from base 210 to 363 matches the Rfam family "5.8S ribosomal RNA". The record is from RNAcentral. Lineage: Eukaryota; Fungi; Ascomycota; Dothideomycetes; Pleosporales; Dictyosporiaceae.